RNAcentral lists this ribosomal RNA (465 nucleotides) under uncultured bacterium. RNAcentral's name for it is "partial 16S ribosomal RNA". It matches the Rfam family "Bacterial small subunit ribosomal RNA", at positions 28 to 507 of the family's 1533-position model. The record is from RNAcentral.
GACGAACGCUGGCGGCGUGCUUAACACAUGCAAGUCGAACGGAAAGGCCCUGUUUGUGGUACUUGCGCGGGGGACGAGCGAGUAACACGCAAGUAACUUGCCUUCGACUUCGGGAUAACUUCCUUCAACUGGGUCUAAUACCGACCAGGAAUCAUCGCCGCAUGCAUGGGGGGGGAAAGAUAUGGUGGGUUUGGAGGGACUCGCGGCUUACCAGUUUGGUGGUGGGGGAGGUGCUUACCAACGCAUUGUCGGGCAGGCGGCCUGGCUGGGCGAACGGCCACAAUGGGACUGGGAUAAGGGCCAGGCUCCUACGGGGAGGCAGAGGGGGGGAUAAUGCACAAUGGGCGGGAGCCUGGUGCAGCAACGCCGCGGGCGGGAUGACGGGCUUCGGGUUGUAAACCGGUUUCAGCAGGGGCGGAGCUGGUGGUGACGGUACCUGCAGAAGAAGCACCGGCUAACUACGUG